RNAcentral lists this ribosomal RNA (1994 nucleotides) under Daphnia magna. RNAcentral's name for it is "eukaryotic LSU rRNA". It matches the Rfam family "Eukaryotic large subunit ribosomal RNA", at positions 1548 to 2842 of the family's 3401-position model. Lineage: Eukaryota; Metazoa; Arthropoda; Branchiopoda; Diplostraca; Daphniidae. The record is from RNAcentral.
AGCCGCUCCACCGUCAGCGAUCUGGCCGAGGACAGAGCCUCAGCUCUCCCGUGAGGAAGAGCUUCGACCCAGGCCUGACACGUCCGCCGCCGGCUUCGCUUGAUAAACUCAGCCCGUCCGCCUCGACCCUCAGAGCCAAUCCUUAUCCCGAAGUUACGGAUCCAAUUUGCCGAUUUCCCUUACCCACAUUCAUCCAUCGACUAGAGGCUGUUCACCUUGGAGACCUGAUGCGGAUAUCGGUACGAACGGGCGCGAACGUCCAACAACGUAGCCCUCCCGCCGGAUUUUCAAGGGCCAGCCGAGAACGCCACGGACGUCGCAGAAACGCGACGCUCUUCGGGAUAGCCUUUGACAGCGAAAUCCAUAACCCUCUCGCCCCGCGACGGGAUUCCAGGGUCUCGGUCCCUCAAGCAGAAAAGAAAACUCUUACGAGGGUUAAGGCGAAAGGGGAUCCGGUCCUGAUUCCGGAUCCGGGAGGCGGCUACGUCCGCGAUAAAACAACUUCACCCCUCAAUGCACGGGCGCGGGACCGCGACACAAACCGGAGAAGCUGCCGAGAACCCCGGGAAGAGUUUGCUUUUCUGCUUGAGGGACCGAGACCCUGGAAUCCCGUCGCGGGGCGAGGGGGGUAUGGAUUUAGCUGUAAAGGCUAUCCCGAAGAGCGUCGCGUUUCUGCGACGUCCGUGGUCGUUCUCGGCUGGCCCUUGAAAAUCCGGCGGGAGGGUUACGUUUGUGGACGUUAGCGCCCGUUCGUACCGAUAUCCGCAUCAGGUCUCCAAGGUGAACAGCCUCUAGUCGAUGGGUGAAUGGGGGAAAGGGAAAUCGGCAAAUUGGAUCCGUAACUUCGGGAUAAGGAUUGGCUCUGAGGGUCGAGGCGGUCGGGCUGAGUUUAUCAAGCGAAGCCUUUUGCGGACGGGUCAGGCCUGGGUCGAAGCCCUUCCUCACGGGAGAGCUGUAGGCUCGGUCCUCGGACAGAUCGAUGACGGUGGAGCGGCUCGGCAUCGUCUGCGCGCGUGUGCGGCGGGAACGGCGUGUGGGCGGGGGCAACCGCGGGUGCGCGGGUCAGGUCUCGGCCGCCAUCGAACGACCACCCAGAACUGGCACGAUCCAGGGGAAUCCGACUGUCUAAUUAAAACACAUCCGACUGUCUAAUUAAAACAAAGCAUUGCGAUGGCCGCAAGUCGGUGCUGACUGCAAUGUGAUUUCUGCCCAGUGCUCUGAAAUGUCAAACUGAAGAAAUCAACGAAGCAGCGCGGGUAAACGGCGGGAGUAACUAUGACUCUCUUAAGGUAGUCAAAUGCCUCGUCAUCUAAUUAGUGACGCGCACGAAUGGAUUAAUAUUCAUCGAAUCGCGGGUAAACGGCGGGAGGAAAACUAGACUCCUGAAGGUAGCCAAAUGACUCGUCAUCUAAAGCCAAAUGCCUCGUCAUCUAAUUAGUGACGCGCAUGAAUGGAUCAACGAGAUUCCCACUGUCCCUACCUACUAUUUAGCGAAACUACAGCCAGGGGAACGGGCCUGGAGAAAUCAGCGGGGAAAGAAGACCCUGUUGAGCUUGACUCUAGUCUAGUAGUGUGAAACGUUUUUAGAGGCGUAGAAUAAGUGGGAGAGAAUGGAAACGUUCUCAGCAAUGAAAUACCACUACUUUGAUAAAUGUUUUACUUAUUGAAUGAGAAAGAGACUAUUAAUGGUUUUAGAGAAAGCAUGUGAAAGUGCAAUCUUUAUUCAAAAUAUUAUUAGAUAGGGAGUUUGGCUGGGGCGGCACAUUUACUAAAUGAUAACGUAAAUGUCCAAAGAUAGACUCAAUAAGAAUAGAAAUCUUAUGUAGAACAAAAAGGUAAAAGUUUAUUUGAUUUUUAUUUUCAGUAUGAAUGUAAACUAUGAAAGUAUGGCUUAUCGAUCCUUUAUGCAAUAAGAGGGAAGCAAUUCUCUUUUGAUUCAAGUUUAAUAAUAGAGGUGUCAGAAAAGUUACCACAGGGAUAACUGGCUUGUGGCA